This 801-nucleotide ribosomal RNA is filed under the name uncultured Pachyphloeus. Its description in RNAcentral is "partial 28S ribosomal RNA". It matches the Rfam family "Eukaryotic large subunit ribosomal RNA", at positions 13 to 827 of the family's 3401-position model. The record is from RNAcentral. Lineage: Eukaryota; Fungi; Ascomycota; Pezizomycetes; Pezizales; Pezizaceae.
AGGUAGGGAUACCCGCUGAACUUAAGCAUAUCAAUAAGCGGAGGAAAAGAAACCAACAGGGAUUGCUUAGUAACGGCGAGUGAAGCGGCAAAAGCUCAGAUUUGAAAUCUGGUAUCAAAUUGAUACUCGAGUUGUAAUCUGUAGAGGAGUUUUCGGAGUACGGCUUUGGUUSAAGUUCCYUGGAAMAGGRCAUCAUAGAGGGUGAGAMYCCUGUUUAUGRCCSKUGUCSKUMUWCAUUANUGAAYMUCCUUCAAUGAGUCGAGUUGUUUGGGAAUGCAGCUCUAAAUGGGUGGUAAAUUCCAUCUAAAGCUAAAUAYUGGCAAGAGACCGAUAGCGCACAAGUAGAGUGAUCGAAAGAUGAAAAGAACUCUGAACAGAGAGUUAAAGAGUACGUGAAAUUGUUGAAAGGGAAGCACUUGUGACCAGACAAAUUUACGGUUAAUCAGCCAUCAAUUCUUGGUGGUGCACUUAAUUGUAGAUGGGUCAGCAUCAGUUAUAGUAGUGGAACAAAGAUCAAAGGAAUGUAGCUCCUCUUUGAGGAGUGUUAUAGUCCUGGGUGCAAUGCUGCCUACUAUGAUUGAGGACCGCGCUUUGGCGAGGAUGUUGGCAUAAUGGUUUUAAGUGACCCGUCUUGAAACUCGGACCAAGGAGUNUAACAUCUAUGCGAGUGUUUGGGNGUUGAANCCCUUUCGCGAAAUGAAAGNGAAUGGAGGUGGGAACCGCAAGGUGCACCAUCGACCGAUCCUGAUGUUUUCGGAUGGAUUUGAGUAAGAGCAUAGCUGUUGGGACCCGAAAGAUGGU